This 478-nucleotide ribosomal RNA is filed under the name uncultured Rhodoferax sp. RNAcentral's name for it is "bacterial SSU rRNA". It matches the Rfam family "Bacterial small subunit ribosomal RNA", at positions 902 to 1382 of the family's 1533-position model. Lineage: Bacteria; Pseudomonadati; Pseudomonadota; Betaproteobacteria; Burkholderiales; Comamonadaceae. The record is from RNAcentral.
CAAAGGAAUUGACGGGACCCGCACAAGCGGUGGAUGAUGUGGUUUAAUUCGAUGCAACGCGAAAAACCUUACCCACCUUUGACAUGUACGGAACCCUUUAGAGAUAGAGGGGUGCUCGAAAGAGAGCCGUAACACAGGUGCUGCAUGGCUGUCGUCAGCUCGUGUCGUGAGAUGUUGGGUUAAGUCCCGCAACGAGCGCAACCCUUGUCAUUAGUUGCUACAUUCAGUUGGGCACUCUAAUGAGACUGCCGGUGACAAGCCGGAGGAAGGUGGGGAUGACGUCAAGUCCUCAUGGCCCUUAUAGGUGGGCUACACACGUCAUACAAUGGCUGGUACAAAGGGUUGCCAACCCGCGAGGGGGAGCCAAUCCCAUAAAGCCAGUCGUAGUCCGGAUCGUAGUCUGCAACUCGACUACGUGAAGUCGGAAUCGCUAGUAAUCGUGGAUCAGAAUGUCACGGUGAAUACGUUCCCGGGUCUU